Molecule: ribosomal RNA, 497 nt
Filed under: uncultured bacterium
Lineage: Bacteria
Description: partial 16S ribosomal RNA
Rfam family: Bacterial small subunit ribosomal RNA
Source: RNAcentral
GAUGAACGCUGGCGGCGUGCCUAAUACAUGCAAGUCGAGCGAACAGACGAGGAGCUUGCUCCUCUGACGUUAGCGGCGGACGGGUGAGUAACACGUGGAUAACCUACCUAUAAGACUGGGAUAACUUCGGGAAACCGGAGCUAAUACCGGAUAAUAUAUUGAACCGCAUGGUUCAAUAGUGAAAGACGGUUUUGCUGUCACUUAUAGAUGGAUCCGCGCCGCAUUAGCUAGUUGGUAAGGUAACGGCUUACCAAGGCAACGAUGCGUAGCCGACCUGAGAGGCGGAUCGGCCACACUGGAGCUGAGACACGGUCCAGACUCCUACGGGAGGCAGCAGUAGGGAAUCUUCCGCAAUGGGCGAAAGCCUGACGGAGCAACGCCGCGUGAGUGAUGAAGGUCUUCGGAUCGUAAAACUCUGUUAUUAGGGAAGAACAAACGUGUAAGUAACUAUGCACGUCUUGACGGUACCUAAUCAGAAAGCCACGGCUAACUACGUG